Long non-coding RNA from Pipra filicauda (Wire-tailed manakin), 216 nucleotides. RefSeq lists it as uncharacterized. The transcript has 4 exons. Lineage: Eukaryota; Metazoa; Chordata; Aves; Passeriformes; Pipridae. The record is from RefSeq and is a predicted model, not a curated record.
ACCAGAAGAUCCAUGCUGUACUAGGACUGAGUGCUAUUGCAACACCAGCCUCUGCCCUGAGGUCACGCCCCAGUGCUUAGAGGGACAAGAAAUAAUCACAAUAAUGCAGCCUGGAAAAUGCUGUCCUACCUUUGAAUGCAGACAUGGCUGUGUAGUCAAUGAAACUUACUAUGCGCCUGGAACUGUCAUUCCAUCAGGCCCCUGCGAAGAAUGCAC